AGCGGUGAAAAUGCGUAGAGAUUCUGAAAGGAAAUACCCGGUGGCGAAGGCGGCCCCCUGGACAGAUACUGACACUCAGAUGCGAAAAGCGUGGGGAGCAAACAGGAUUUAGAUACCCUGGUAGUCCACGCCGUAAACGAUGUCUACUUGGAGGUUGUGGCCUUGAGCCGUGGCUUUCGGAGCUAACGCGUUAAGUAGACCGCCUGGGGAGUACGGUCGCAAGAUUAAAACUCAAAUGAAUUUGACGGGGGCCCGCACAAGCGGUGGAGCAUGUGGUUUAAUUCGAUGCAACGCGAAGAACCUUACCUACUCUUGACAUCCAGAGAACUUUCCAGAGAUGGAUUGGUGCCUUCGGGAACUCUGAGACAGGUGCUGCAUGGCUGUCGUCAGCUCGUGUUGUGAAAUGUUGGGUUAAGUCCCGCAACGAGCGCAACCCUUAUCCUUGUUUGCCAGCACGUAAUGGUGGGAACUCCAGGGAGACUGCCGGUGAUAAACCGGAGGAAGGUGGGGACGACGUCAAGUCAUCAUGGCCCUUACGAGUAGGGCUACACACGUGCUACAAUGGCGUAUACAGAGGGCUGCCAACCAGCGAUAGUGAGCGAAUCCCAGAAAGUACGUCGUAGUCCGGAUUGGAGUCUGCAACUCGACUCCAUGAAGUCGGAAUCGCUAGUAAUCGUGAAUCAGAAUGUCACGGUGAAUACGUUCCCGGGCCUUGUACACACCGCCCGUCACACCAUGGGAGUGGGCUGCACCAGAAGUAGAUAGCUUAACCUUCGGGAGGGCGUUUACCACGGUGUGGUUCAUGACUGGGGUGAAGUCGUAACAAGGU
This 829-nucleotide ribosomal RNA is filed under the name uncultured Photobacterium sp. Its description in RNAcentral is "bacterial SSU rRNA". It matches the Rfam family "Bacterial small subunit ribosomal RNA", at positions 677 to 1497 of the family's 1533-position model. The record is from RNAcentral. Lineage: Bacteria; Pseudomonadati; Pseudomonadota; Gammaproteobacteria; Vibrionales; Vibrionaceae.